Molecule: transfer RNA, 72 nt
Organism: Camelus ferus (Wild Bactrian camel)
Lineage: Eukaryota; Metazoa; Chordata; Mammalia; Artiodactyla; Camelidae
Rfam family: tRNA
About the family: Transfer RNA (tRNA) molecules are approximately 80 nucleotides in length. Their secondary structure includes four short double-helical elements and three loops (D, anti-codon, and T loops). Further hydrogen bonds mediate the characteristic L-shaped molecular structure. tRNAs have two regions of fundamental functional importance: the anti-codon, which is responsible for specific mRNA codon recognition, and the 3' end, to which the tRNAs corresponding amino acid is attached (by aminoacyl-tRNA synthetases). tRNAs cope with the degeneracy of the genetic code in two manners: having more than one tRNA (with a specific anti-codon) for a particular amino acid; and 'wobble' base-pairing, i.e. permitting non-standard base-pairing at the 3rd anti-codon position.
Source: Rfam
GAGGGUAUAGCUCGGUGGUAGCGUGCAUUCCUAGUGCGCAUGAGGUCCCGGGUUCAAUCCCCAGUACCUCCA